Gastrolobium bilobum is the source of this 635-nucleotide long non-coding RNA. RefSeq lists it as uncharacterized. The record is from RefSeq and is a predicted model, not a curated record. The transcript is spliced from 4 exons. Lineage: Eukaryota; Viridiplantae; Streptophyta; Magnoliopsida; Fabales; Fabaceae.
GUCGUCUCUCUUUCAAUAUCCUCUACGACUUCUUGCUUCUUUUCCUUUCCGUGAGGCAUCUUAGAAAAAGGGCAAGGGAGAACUUGAGGAAUGAGUCACCAUUUCAUCUAGACUCCAACAUAGAAAAGCAGCGCCUGUACUAGGAAUGGAAGGAGGAAAUGGAUUAACUUGUUGAUUCUAAGCUUAGGGAAGUCGUCAAUAGUUAUUGAUUAGGUUAUCUAAGUGAAAAGCAAGAGGUGUGAAUCCCAGAAAUUCGAACCCUGUGAGACGGACUACACGUGGAUAGCUAAGUUCAUAGUCUUUGUGUAAAACAAGUUAUAGAAACGGAAAGCAUUCAGGUAUCGCAGCAGUUGACGAUCGUUCUCGGGGCAAGAGGCCCGUGGUUGAUGAGUAGAUCUGAGCAUAGAUGUUGCCUGCUUAUUUUGGGAGUCUGUUGUAUAUAUACGUUACAUUGUGAUCUGGUUAUUUGAUAUCUUGUCGAUGCAUGGUUAUUAGCUGGGCUUUUUGAGAGGCUAUACUAGCCUAUGUACAGAUGUAUAUAGUCUAUGUAGCACCGAUACGACACGCGACACGUGACACGACACGACACGACACUCCGACACAUCAAUUCUAAAAAAUUAUGGAUUUUGACACAU